Molecule: ribosomal RNA, 305 nt
Filed under: uncultured bacterium
Lineage: Bacteria
Description: partial 16S ribosomal RNA
Rfam family: Bacterial small subunit ribosomal RNA
Source: RNAcentral
ACAGCAGUAGCCGCGGUAAUACGAAGGGGGCUAGCGUUGCUCGGAAUGACUGGGCGUAAAGGGCGCGUAGGCGGAUUGUUUAGUUAGGCGUGAAAUUCCUGGGCUUAACCUGGGGACUGCGCUUAAUACAGGCAGUCUAGAGUGAGGAAGAGGGUUGUGGAGUUCCCAGUGUAGAGGUGAAAUUCGUAGAUAUUGGGAAGAACACCGGUGGCGAAGGCGGCAACCUGGUCCUUGACUGACGCUGAGGCGCGAAAGCGUGGGGAGCAAACAGGAUUAGAUACCCCCGUAGUCCCUGUCUCUUAUAC